CACUGCUAUCGGGGUUCGAUUAAGCCAUGCGAGUCGAGAGGGUUCAGACCCUCGGCGCACUGCUCAGUAACACGUGGAUAACCUACCCUGAGGAGGGGGAUAACCCCGGGAAACUGGGGAUAAUACCUCAUAGGUUUCAGAUGCUGGAAUGCUCUGAAACCGAAAUGCUCCGGCGCCUCAGGAUGGAUCUGCGGCCGAUUAGGUUGUUGUUGGGGUAACGGCCCAACAAGCCCGUCAUCGGUACGGGUUGUGAGAGCAAGAGCCCGGAGAUGGAUUCUGAGACACCAAUCCAGGCCCUACGGGGCGCAGCAGGCGCGAAACCUUUACAAUGCGAGCAAUCGUGAUAAGGGAACCCCGAGUGCCUGAAACCAGGCUGUUCAGGUGUUUAAAAAGCACCUGGAGAAAGGGCCGGGCAAGACCGGUGCCAGCCGCCGCGGUAAUACCGGCGGCUCGAGUGGUGGCCGCUAUUAUUGGGCUUAAAGCGUUCGUAGCUGGGUUGUUAAGUCUCUUGGGAAAUCUCACGGCUCAACCGUGAGGCGACUAAGAGAUACUGGCAAUCUUG
RNAcentral lists this ribosomal RNA (562 nucleotides) under uncultured archaeon. Its description in RNAcentral is "bacterial SSU rRNA". It matches the Rfam family "Archaeal small subunit ribosomal RNA", at positions 25 to 595 of the family's 1478-position model. The record is from RNAcentral.